ACACGUGAAACACCCUGUAUACGCUGGCGGGCGGGCGGUCGUUCGGCCGGGCGGUCCGUCGAUAGGUCUGAUGGUUGGGGGGAGGGAAAUCUGGUCAUUGCGCAUGCGUGCCGGUAAAAAGCCCUGUGGGAGCGCCGCCGCCGCGCGCGCGCGCACGAGUGUAUAAGUGUGUAUGUGUGUGUGUGUUUGUGCGUGCGUGCGUGUGUGUGUGUGUAUCAGUCGACAGAUACACCUUCUUUUAAAAUCGCGGCAGACGCACCGACGAAAAGCACACACACGGCGGCGGCUCGAGUCAUCGGUCGUGUUCGGUUUUUCAUCUCUCUCUCAUAUCUUCUCCUUUUUUAGUUCCUUGACCGGCCGCGAUUAGUGUCGUCCCUGCAGCAAAUAUUAUUAUUAUUAUUAUAAAUAUCGACACACAUAUAUAUAUAUAUAUAUACCACUUCAACAUUAUCAUUAUUAUAUUAUCAUCUUCCGUCGUCGUCGGUGCACUGUGCAGUCCGCGCUCUCGUGUGUGUGUGUGAGUGUGUAUUUUUUCCCGGGCUUUUAAACCGGGCCAUUAUAAAUACGGGGUGCACGCGCUCAACAGCAUUCAGUAUCCGACCGGCUUUUCAUCCGACGACACUUCAGCGGCUCUUUGCUUUUUUCUAUUAUCAAUUUAUACCGACCGUGUUCUGCAGCAGCUCGUGUAUACUCCGAUAUUAACGAAAGAUAUCGCCGCCGUCGAAGUGUUUAAAGUUUUUAUAAAAUUUUUUUUUUUUGGAAAAUUUUUUGAAAAUUUUCUUCGCCGCCGCAGCAACGAUGGGUUUGGAUCCGACUGGACUGUACUGAGUACACUUAACGUUCUACACGACAAUCUAUCCGUCACGAUCGCACCCAACGGUUUUGGGCACAACAUUCAAAAAGGAAUCGAGAAUUUUUCUCAAAAUUCAAUCUCAACUUUCGUAUUUCGAAACCAAUCUACGGCAAAAAUAAACAUUAUGUGCGGAGGAGGACCAAAACUCGACCCAACUGGCCUCUACUAACCAGUGUAGAUGCACUUCACAAUCAACAGACCAACACAAUUCAACAUUAUGUUUAAAUCAGGUUUACAAAAAAACAAGAAUUCCAAGAUCAUGGCUCUUAAAGUCAGCACCUUCUACCACGGCACAAUUAGGCAUCUGUACUGGCCUCAAACAACAGUUCGCUGGAAUCAAGAUUUUGUAUGAAGACAAUAAAUUCUGUUCAAUUUCCUCAUAUAAGACUCGAGGAGGACGAUGAAUGAUGAUAUUCACCACAGAAUAUUAUUAUUAUUAUCAUUAUUAUUUUUUGACUAUUUAAAAUCUCAAAAUAGUUUUAUUGUUAAAUUUGUCUGUUUUUAAGAUUUUCGUUUCCUCCUCGCUUUUUUUAUUAUUAUCAUCUGGGUUCACAUUAGUUUCAUUGGGAAUAUGGACAUCUGUAUUAGUUAGCUGAUCAUAGUCCCCGUGGAAUAGGGUUUGUGUAUUUAUUUAUUUAUUUUUAUUAUUAUUACGAAUACGUUCCAAGCUUGAAAAAUAUUUUUCAAAUCUUUCUUAAAUCACAUUGGAUUUUAAUUAAAAUAAUGUUGCUUAUUGUUAAUUAUUUAAACAUUAACAAUAUAUUAAUUUCAGUCACAUGUUAUUUUUGAACGAUAAUUAUUAUUAUUUUUAUUAUUAUACUAUCAUUAUUAUUUUUUUUUUUUAUAUAAUGGAAUUGAACUUAUAUUGUAUUCAUCAAAAUGAUUAACAACAAACAUUAGAACACUAUGAAACAAAAAAAAAAAAAAAUCACGUGUAUUAAUACGUAGGCUUAAAAGACUGACUUAACUCUGGACUUCUAUAAAAUAAAGUGUUUGUUUUCCAAUUCUAAUAAUGUAUAGUCUCAGGAACUAUGUUUUUUUUCUAUUUUUAUAAUAUUAAUCUUCUCCGUAUUUAUUUAUUUUUGUACAUAAAAACAUGAAAUAAAAGUGUUUUAAAGAUUA
Molecule: long non-coding RNA, 1975 nt
Organism: Rhopalosiphum padi (bird cherry-oat aphid)
Lineage: Eukaryota; Metazoa; Arthropoda; Insecta; Hemiptera; Aphididae
Exons: 2
Source: RefSeq, a predicted model, not a curated record